CAAGUUUCUGAGGAACACGGCCAAGUCCAAGAACCACACCAUGCACAACCAGUCAUGAAAAUGGCACAGAAACAGCAUGAAGAAGCCCAGUCACAAAGAUAUGAAUCUCUUAGGAGAGUAGACCCCAAUAUCCUGAGGAACAUGCACUUUGCCAAGAAGCACGACAA
This is a long non-coding RNA of Leopardus geoffroyi (Geoffroy's cat), 167 nucleotides long. RefSeq lists it as uncharacterized. Lineage: Eukaryota; Metazoa; Chordata; Mammalia; Carnivora; Felidae. The transcript has 3 exons. The record is from RefSeq and is a predicted model, not a curated record.